RNAcentral lists this ribosomal RNA (533 nucleotides) under uncultured bacterium. RNAcentral describes it as "partial 16S ribosomal RNA". It matches the Rfam family "Bacterial small subunit ribosomal RNA", at positions 355 to 898 of the family's 1533-position model. The record is from RNAcentral.
UGGGGAAUAUUGCACAAUGGGCGAAAGCCUGAUGCAGCAACGCCGCGUGAGGGAUGACGGCCUUCGGGUUGUAAACCUCUUUUAGCAGGGAAGAAGCGAGAGUGACGGUACCUGCAGAAAAAGCGCCGGCUAACUACGUGCCAGCAGCCGCGGUAAUACGUAGGGCGCGAGCGUUGUCCGGAAUUAUUGGGCGUAAAGAGCUCGUAGGCGGUUUGUCGCGUCUGCUGUGAAAUCCCGAGGCUCAACCUCGGGCUUGCAGUGGGUACGGGCAGACUAGAGUGCGGUAGGGGAGACUGGAACUCCUGGUGUAGCGGUGGAAUGCGCAGAUAUCAGGAAGAACACCGAUGGCGAAGGCAGGUCUCUGGGCCGUUACUGACGCUGAGGAGCGAAAAGCAUGGGGAGCAAACAGGAUUAGAUACCCUGGUAGUCCAUGCCGUAAACGUUGGGUGCUAGACGUGGGGCCUUUCCACGGUUUCCGUGUCGUAGCUAACGCAUUAAGCACCCCGCCUGGGGAGUACGGCCGCAAGGCUAAA